This 251-nucleotide long non-coding RNA is filed under the name Mytilus galloprovincialis (Mediterranean mussel). The record is from RNAcentral. Lineage: Eukaryota; Metazoa; Mollusca; Bivalvia; Mytilida; Mytilidae.
GUCACCCGGUUUAGAACUUCGACAGGUUUUCUCUAUGUGAAUGGGUGUGCCGAAUGUGUAACUCUUGUUCAAUGAAAAUGUGAAAAAGAAUUAAGGUUAAUUACUCCAACUCUUAAUUAAACGUGAAAUAUAGAUUAAUCGGUAAGUUGAAAUUAACAUAAAACACGUGUCUAAUCAACAGGUAAAGGAUGCUGUUUUAAUUUAUUGUCAUAUUUGACAGGUGAGUCGGCCAUGACAUGCAUACAUGUAUU